GAGUUUGAUCAUGGCUCAGAUUGAACGCUGGCGGCAGGCUUAACACAUGCAAGUCGAACGAUGAUUACUAGCUUGCUAGUAUGAUUAGUGGCGAACGGGUGAGUAAUGCUUAGGAAUCUGCCUAUUAGUGGGGGACAACAUUCCGAAAGGAAUGCUAAUACCGCAUACGUCCUACGGGAGAAAGCAGGGGAUCGCAAGACCUUGCGCUAAUAGAUGAGCCUGAGUCGGAUUAGCUAGUUGGUGGGGUAAAGGCCUACCAAGGCGACGAUCUGUAGCUGGUCUGAGAGGAUGAUCAGCCACACUGGAACUGAGACACGGCCCAGACUCCUACGGGAGGCAGCAGUGGGGAAUAUUGGACAAUGGGCGAAAGCCUGAUCCAGCCAUGCCGCGUGUGUGAAGAAGGCCUUUUGGUUGUAAAGCACUUUAAGUGGGGAGGAAAAGCUAAUAAUUAAUACCCUAUUAGCC
RNAcentral lists this ribosomal RNA (465 nucleotides) under Moraxella sp. canine oral taxon 017. RNAcentral describes it as "bacterial SSU rRNA". It matches the Rfam family "Bacterial small subunit ribosomal RNA", at positions 9 to 469 of the family's 1533-position model. The record is from RNAcentral. Lineage: Bacteria; Pseudomonadati; Pseudomonadota; Gammaproteobacteria; Moraxellales; Moraxellaceae.